CGCUAGUAAUCGCGCAUCAGCCAUGGCGCGGUGAAUACGUUCCCGGGCCUUGUACACACCGCCCGUCAAGCCAUGAAAGCCGGGGGUACCUGAAGUACGUAACCGCAAGGAGCGUCCUAGGGUAAAACUGGUAAUUGGGGCUAAGUCGUAACAAGGUAUC
This 160-nucleotide ribosomal RNA is filed under the name uncultured bacterium. RNAcentral describes it as "partial 16S ribosomal RNA". It matches the Rfam family "Bacterial small subunit ribosomal RNA", at positions 1333 to 1500 of the family's 1533-position model. The record is from RNAcentral.